ACUACGGGUGGCAGCAGUGGGGAAUAUUGGGCAAUGGGCGCAAGCCUGACCCAGCAACGCCGCGUGAAGGAAGAAGGCUUUCGGGUUGUAAACUUCUUUUCUCAGGGACGAAGAAAGUGACGGUACCUGAGGAAUAAGCCACGGCUAACUACGUGCCAGCAGCCGCGGUAAUACGUAGGUGGCAAGCGUUAUCCGGAUUUAUUGGGUGUAAAGGGCGUGUAGGCGGGAGCGCAAGUCAGAUGUGAAAACUCAGGGCUCAACCCUGAGCCUGCAUUUGAAACUGUGUUUCUGGAGUGCUGGAGAGGCAAUCGGAAUUCCGUGUGUAGCGGUGAAAUGCGUAGAUAUACGGAGGAACACCAGUGGCGAAGGCGGAUUGCUGGACAGUAACUGACGCUGAGGCGCGAAAGCGUGGGGAGCAAACAGGAUUAGAUACCCGAGUAGUC
Molecule: ribosomal RNA, 443 nt
Filed under: uncultured bacterium
Lineage: Bacteria
Description: partial 16S ribosomal RNA
Rfam family: Bacterial small subunit ribosomal RNA
Source: RNAcentral